UACAGAGGUCCCAAGCGUUGUUCGGAUUCACUGGGCGUAAAGGGUGCGUAGGUGGUGAGGUAAGUCGGAUGUGAAAUCUCCGGGCUCAACCCGGAAAUGGCAUUGGAAACUACCUUGCUAGAGGAUUUGAGGGGGGAUUGGAAUACUUGGUGUAGCAGUGAAAUGCGUAGAUAUCAAGUGGAACACCAGUGGCGAAGGCGAAUCCCUGGAAAAUACCUGACGCUGAGACGCGAAAGCGUGGGGAGCAAACAGG
This 253-nucleotide ribosomal RNA is filed under the name uncultured bacterium. Its description in RNAcentral is "partial 16S ribosomal RNA". It matches the Rfam family "Bacterial small subunit ribosomal RNA", at positions 524 to 776 of the family's 1533-position model. The record is from RNAcentral.